RNAcentral lists this ribosomal RNA (690 nucleotides) under Canoparmelia texana. Its description in RNAcentral is "partial small subunit ribosomal RNA". Lineage: Eukaryota; Fungi; Ascomycota; Lecanoromycetes; Lecanorales; Parmeliaceae. The record is from RNAcentral.
GGAUGUAUAGCANUAGCUACUUGCAACAUUGUAGAUAUGAUGCAAGAUCAACGUUNUUGAAUAAAAUUCUAGGUGAUGAUGACAAUAUCUGCCUAUGUGUCUUGACCAAAUUACGUGCCAGCAGUCGCGGUAAUACGUAAAAGACUAGUGUUAUUCAUGUUUAAUCGGUUUAAAGGGUACCUAGACGGUAGAUCAAGCUUUCAAAUAAAAAAAAAAAAAAAAAAGGACUAWUUUACUAGAGUUACUUAUGAGGGGGUAGWAAAGUACKGGKGGUGWAGAGAURAAAUUCUGUCAUACCUCUUUUCAAAAAAAAACAUAUGGCACAGGUWUAGGCGAAGGCCUCCCCUUAUGUGAUAACUGACGUUGAGGGACRAAGGCGACGUGAAACAAACAGGAUUAGAUCCCCUAGUAGUUGUAGCAAAAAAUGAUGAAUGUCAUAGAUUAGAUGUAUAAGUUUAUUCUAUAAAUGAAAGUGUAAGCAUUCCCCCUCAAGAGUAAUUUGGCAACWUUGGAACUGAAAUCAUUAGACCGUUUCUGAAACCAGUAGUGAAGUAUGUUGUUUAAUUUGAUGAUCCGCAAAAAACCUUCCCACAAUUUGAAUAUAUAUAUAAUUUAUUGUUUUUUCAGAAAUAAAAAGGCAAUAAAAUAUUUUUACAAGCGUUGCACGGCUGUCUUCAGUUAAUGUCGGGA